GAUUCCUUAUGUAAGGAAUUACAAAAGAAAUUUUUUCAACAAAGAUGUGAAUUAGGAAGGAUUGGUCGACGAAAUAUGAACCGGUGACUGAAUCAUGAUAUU
This is a non-coding RNA of Phoenix dactylifera (date palm), 102 nucleotides long. The record is from RefSeq and is a predicted model, not a curated record. NCBI's taxonomy places the organism in Eukaryota, Viridiplantae, Streptophyta, Magnoliopsida, Arecales, Arecaceae.